CAAUAGCGUAUAUUUAAGUUGUUGCAGUUAAAAAGCUCGUAGUUGGAUUUCGGAUGGGAUUUGCCGGUCCGUCGUUACGAUGAGCACUGGCCAGUCCUAUCUUGUUGUCGGGGACUAGCUCCUUGGAUUCACUUCCUGGGACUAGGAGCUGACGAGGUUACUUUGAGUAAAUUAGAGUGUUCAAAGCAAGCCUACGCUCUGAAUACAUUAGCAUGGAAUAACACGAUAGGACUCUGGCUUAUCUUGUUGGUCUGUGAGACCAGAGUAAUGAUUAAGAGGGACAGUCGGGGACAUUCGUAUUUCAUUGUCAGAGGUGAAAUUCUUGGAUUUAUGAAAGACGAACUUCUGCGAAAGCAUUUGUCAAGGAUGUUUUCAUUAA
RNAcentral lists this ribosomal RNA (379 nucleotides) under uncultured eukaryote. RNAcentral's name for it is "partial 18S ribosomal RNA". It matches the Rfam family "Eukaryotic small subunit ribosomal RNA", at positions 592 to 976 of the family's 1831-position model. The record is from RNAcentral.